UACGGGGGGGGCAAGCGUUGUUCGGAAUUACUGGGCGUAAAGGGCUCGUAGGCGGCCAACUAAGUCAGACGUGAAAUCCCUCGGCUUAACCGGGGAACUGCAUCUGAUACUGGAUGGCUUGAGAUUGGGGAGAGGGAUGCGGAAUUCCAGGUGUAGCGGUGAAAUGCGUAGAUAUCUGGAGGAACACCGGUGGCGAAGGCGGCAUCCUGGACCAACACUGACGCUGAGGAGCGAAAGCCAGGGGAGCAAACGGG
RNAcentral lists this ribosomal RNA (254 nucleotides) under uncultured bacterium. Its description in RNAcentral is "partial 16S ribosomal RNA". It matches the Rfam family "Bacterial small subunit ribosomal RNA", at positions 524 to 776 of the family's 1533-position model. The record is from RNAcentral.